RNAcentral lists this long non-coding RNA (1174 nucleotides) under Gopherus agassizii (Agassiz's desert tortoise). RNAcentral's name for it is "lncRNA (ENSGAGG00000008022.1)". Lineage: Eukaryota; Metazoa; Chordata; Testudines; Testudinidae. The record is from RNAcentral.
AGUGCCCCGCCCAGCAUACAGUAUAAAUACAGUGCUCAGCCUUGCCAUCUCCCACAGAGCGUGCCAGACCAGAAACAACUCCGCUCCAGAGAGAGUAAAGACGCAAAGAUGAAGGUGUCAUAUGUGGCCGCUUUCCUCAUCGGGCUCCUCUCCCUGGAGAGCACCAGAGCGGCUCCGUUGUUGUGGUCUGUGGGCUCUGGUAGCGUAAAGACCGGUGACGUGGGCCACGGCAGCUUUAACGACAACAGCAAAAACAACAAAUUCUGGUCAGUGGGCUCUGGGAGCGUAAACACCGGUGACGUGGGCCACGGCAGCUUUAACGACAACAGCAAAAACAACAAAUUCUGGUCAGUGGGCUCUGGUAGCGUAAAGACUGGUGACGUGGGCCACGGCAGCUUUAACGACAACAGCAAAAACAACCAAUUCUGGUCAGUGGACUCUGGUAGCGUAAACACCGGUAACGUGGGCCACGGCAGCUUUAACGACAACAGUAUAAACAACAAAUUCUUGCCAGUGAAAAACAACAAAUUCUGGUCAGUGGGCUCUGGUAGCGUAAACACUGGAGACGUGGGCCACGGCAGCUUUAACGACAACAGUAUAAACAACAAAAUCUUGCCAGUGAAAAAGAACAAAUUCUGGUCAGUGGGCUCUGGGAGCGUAAACACCGGUGACGUGGGCCACGGCAGCUUUAACGACAACAGCAAAAACAACAAAUUCUGGUCAGUGGACUCUGGUAGCGUAAACACCGGUGACGUAGGCCAUGGCAGCUUUAACGACAACAGCAAAAACAACAAAUUAUGCUUAGUGGGCUCCGGAAGCAAAAAGACCGGCAAAGUGGUCGACAGCAGCUUUGACAACAAAAGCGUAAGUAGUAGAGAUUAUCUCUCCAUGCUAUGUAGCUUCACACACAUCUGUGAACAGACCGUGUUUCAGCUAGUUUGAUGUCUCGUAACCUUUGCCUGCGAGGAACACUGGCUGCAUUUGCCCAUGUUGUAAAUGCAGCAUGGAGAGUCCUCCCACUCCACAGGCUCCUCCCCACAGCUCCCAUUGAACGGUUUCCAGACAAUGGGAGUGCCGAUCUGUUGCUUAUAGUGGGGGCAUAGCUUCAUGGCCCCUCUUCCUAGAAGCUGGACCUGCUGCUGGCUGCUUCCGGGGCGCAACGCGGUGUCAGAAC